RNAcentral lists this ribosomal RNA (488 nucleotides) under uncultured bacterium. RNAcentral's name for it is "bacterial SSU rRNA". It matches the Rfam family "Bacterial small subunit ribosomal RNA", at positions 28 to 513 of the family's 1533-position model. The record is from RNAcentral.
GAUGAACGCUGGCGGCGUGCCUAAUACAUGCAAGUCGAACGGAGAUUGUAGCAAUACAUUCUUAGUGGCGAACGGGUGAGUAAUGCAUCGGAACGUGCCCAGUCGUGGGGGAUAACGCAGCGAAAGCUGUGCUAAUACCGCAUACGAUCUACGGAUGAAAGCGGGGGACUCAGCAAUGAGCCUCGCGCGAUUGGAGCGGCCGAUGUCAGAUUAGGUAGUUGGUGGGAUAAAAGCUCACCAAGCCAACGAUCUGUAGCUGGUCUGAGAGGACGACCAGCCACACUGGGACUGAGACACGGCCCAGACUCCUACGGGAGGCAGCAGUGGGGAAUUUUGGACAAUGGGCGCAAGCCUGAUCCAGCAAUGCCGCGUGCAGGAAGAAGCCUCGGUUGUAACUAGUCUUUGUACGGAACGAACGGUACGUGGUUAACUACCGUCGGCUAUAGACGGUACCGUAAGAAUAAGACACCGCUAACUACGUACGCACG